UACGUAGGGGGCAAGCGUUGUCCGGAAUCAUUGGGCGUAAAGAGCGUGUAGGCGGUUCGGUAAGUCCGCUGUGAAAGUCCAGGGCUCAACCCUGGAAUGCCGGUGGAUACUGCCUGGCUAGAGUCCGGAAGAGGCGAGUGGAAUUCCUGGUGUAGCGGUGAAAUGCGCAGAUAUCAGGAGGAACACCGAUGGCGAAGGCAGCUCGCUGGGACGGUACUGACGCUGAGACGCGAAAGCGUGGGGAGCAAACAGG
RNAcentral lists this ribosomal RNA (253 nucleotides) under uncultured bacterium. RNAcentral describes it as "partial 16S ribosomal RNA". It matches the Rfam family "Bacterial small subunit ribosomal RNA", at positions 524 to 776 of the family's 1533-position model. The record is from RNAcentral.